RNAcentral lists this ribosomal RNA (229 nucleotides) under uncultured bacterium. Its description in RNAcentral is "partial 16S ribosomal RNA". It matches the Rfam family "Bacterial small subunit ribosomal RNA", at positions 568 to 796 of the family's 1533-position model. The record is from RNAcentral.
CGCGCAGGCGGGUUUGUCAGUCAGGGGUGAAAUCCUACAGCUUAACUGUAGAACUGCCUUUGAUACUGCAAGCCUUGAGUUCGGAAGAGAGAGGCGGAAUUCCAGGUGUAGUGGUGAAAUACGUAGAUAUCUGGAAGAACACCAGAGGCGAAGGCGGUCUCUUGGUCCGUAACUGACGCUGAGGCGCGAAAGCGUGGGGAGCAAACAGGAUUAGAUACCCUGGUAGUCC